RNAcentral lists this ribosomal RNA (492 nucleotides) under uncultured bacterium. Its description in RNAcentral is "partial 16S ribosomal RNA". It matches the Rfam family "Bacterial small subunit ribosomal RNA", at positions 29 to 507 of the family's 1533-position model. The record is from RNAcentral.
AGUGAACGCUGGCGGUAGGCCUAACACAUGCAAGUCGAACGGCAGCACAGUAAGAGCUUGCUCUUACGGGUGGCGAGUGGCGGACGGGUGAGGAAUACAUCGGAAUCUACUUUUUCGUGGGGGAUAACGUAGGGAAACUUACGCUAAUACCGCAUACGACCUACGGGUGAAAGCAGGGGAUCUUCGGACCUUGCGCGAUUGAAUGAGCCGAUGUCGGAUUAGCUAGUUGGCGGGGUAAAGGCCCACCAAGGCGACGAUCCGUAGCUGGUCUGAGAGGAUGAACAGCCACACUGGAACUGAGACACGGUCCAGACUCCUACGGGAGGCAGCAGUGGGGAAUAUUGGACAAUGGGCGCAAGCAUGAUCCAGACAUACCGCGUGGGUGAAGAAGGCAUUCGGGUUGUAAAGCCCUUUUGUUGGGAAAGAAAAGCAGCAGGUUAAUACCCAGCUGUUCUGACGGUACCCAAAGAAUAAGCACCGGCUAACUUCGUG